ACGAACGCUGGCGGCAUGCCUAAUACAUGCAAGUCGAGCGGUGCAGCAAUGCAUAGCGGCGGACGGGUGAGUAACGCGUGGGCAACCUGCCUCAAAGGUUGGGAUAACACCCCGAAAGGGGUGCUAAUACCGAGUGUGCUCUAGGUGCCGCAUGGCAUAUAGAGGAUAGGAGAAAUCCGUUUCGAGAUGGGCCCGCGUCUGAUUAGCUAGUUGGUAGGUAACGGCCUACCAAGGCGACGAUCAGUAGCCG
Molecule: ribosomal RNA, 250 nt
Filed under: uncultured bacterium
Lineage: Bacteria
Description: partial 16S ribosomal RNA
Rfam family: Bacterial small subunit ribosomal RNA
Source: RNAcentral